This 492-nucleotide ribosomal RNA is filed under the name uncultured bacterium. RNAcentral describes it as "partial 16S ribosomal RNA". It matches the Rfam family "Bacterial small subunit ribosomal RNA", at positions 29 to 507 of the family's 1533-position model. The record is from RNAcentral.
AGCGAACGCUGGCGGUAGGCCUAACACAUGCAAGUCGAACGGCAGCACAGUAAGAGUUUGCUCUUACGGGUGGCGAGUGGCGGACGGGUGAGGAAAAUAUCGGAACCUACUCUUUCGUGGGGGAUAACGUAGGGAAACUUACGCUAAUACCGCAUAUGACCUACGGGUGAAAGCAGGGGAUCUUCGGACCUUGUGCGAUUGAAUGCGCGGAUGUCGGAUUAGCUGGUUGGCGGGGUAAUGGCCCACCAAGGCGACGAUCCGUAGCUGGUCGGAGAGGAUGGUCAGCGGCACGAGAGCGGGAACGCGGUCCAGACGCCUACGAGAGGGAGCAGUGGGGAAUAUUGGACAAUAGGCGCAAACAUGAUCCAGCCGUACCGCGUGGGUGGAGAAGGCGUUCGGGUUGUAAAGACCUUUUGUUGGGAGUGAAAAGCAGCAGGUUAAUACGCCGCUGUUCUGACGGUACCCAAAGAAUAAGCACCGGCUAACUUCGUG